GUGGGCAACGUGGAGUGGCUGUUUUAGGUGGCUUCAACAGUUGGUUACUAGGGAAGCUAGCUCAUAGUUUAAUUGACGACCACGAUGGUUUUCGUAGACUCGAUUAUUCAAUAUCAAAAUUGUCCGAUCUAGCGUGAUCGUUUUAUUCUAUGAAGAUUUAGAGAGCCAGUCACACCCUCACACUUCAUCGCCAAUUUCUUCCUCGCGUACUGCG
Molecule: long non-coding RNA, 214 nt
Filed under: Physcomitrium patens
Lineage: Eukaryota; Viridiplantae; Streptophyta; Bryopsida; Funariales; Funariaceae
Description: long non-coding RNA (PPAT_LNC012268)
Source: RNAcentral